This 379-nucleotide ribosomal RNA is filed under the name uncultured soil bacterium. RNAcentral describes it as "bacterial SSU rRNA". It matches the Rfam family "Bacterial small subunit ribosomal RNA", at positions 26 to 405 of the family's 1533-position model. The record is from RNAcentral.
AGAUUGAACGCUGGCGGCAGGCCUAACACAUGCAAGUCGAGCGGUAGAGAGGUGCUUGCAUCUCUUGAGAGCGGCGGACGGGUGAGUAAUGCCUAGGAAUCUGCCUAGUGGUGGGGGAUAACGUUCGGAAACGGACGCUAAUACCGCAUACGUCCUACGGGAGAAAGCGGGGGACCUUCGGGCCUCGCGCCAUUAGAUGAGCCUAGGUCGGAUUAGCUAGUUGGUGAGGUAAUGGCUCACCAAGGCGACGAUCCGUAACUGGUCUGAGAGGAUGAUCAGUCACACUGGAACUGAGACACGGUCCAGACUCCUACGGGAGCAGCAGUGGGGAAUAUUGGACAAGUGGGCGAAAGCCUGAUCCAAGCCAUGGCCGCGUGUG